RNAcentral lists this ribosomal RNA (451 nucleotides) under Bacillus sp. '4.1 MW-15'. RNAcentral describes it as "bacterial SSU rRNA". It matches the Rfam family "Bacterial small subunit ribosomal RNA", at positions 34 to 479 of the family's 1533-position model. Lineage: Bacteria; Bacillati; Bacillota; Bacilli; Caryophanales; Bacillaceae. The record is from RNAcentral.
CGCUGGCGGCGUGCCUAAUACAUGCAAGUCGAGCGAAUCGAUGGGAGCUUGCUCCCUGAGAUUAGCGGCGGACGGGUGAGUAACACGUGGGCAACCUGCCUAUAAGACUGGGAUAACUUCGGGAAACCGGAGCUAAUACCGGAUACGUUCUUUUCUCGCAUGAGAGAAGAUGGAAAGACGGUUUACGCUGUCACUUAUAGAUGGGCCCGCGGCGCAUUAGCUAGUUGGUGAGGUAAUGGCUCACCAAGGCGACGAUGCGUAGCCGACCUGAGAGGGUGAUCGGCCACACUGGGACUGAGACACGGCCCAGACUCCUACGGGAGGCAGCAGUAGGGAAUCUUCCGCAAUGGACGAAAGUCUGACGGAGCAACGCCGCGUGAACGAAGAAGGCCUUCGGGUCGUAAAGUUCUGUUGUUAGGGAAGAACAAGUACCAGAGUAACUGCUGGUACC